Molecule: long non-coding RNA, 7698 nt
Organism: Parus major (Great Tit)
Lineage: Eukaryota; Metazoa; Chordata; Aves; Passeriformes; Paridae
Exons: 3
Source: RefSeq, a predicted model, not a curated record
AAAGCCGCAGCGACCCCACCCCCCCCUCACGGCCCGGCGGCGCUGGAGCGGGGCCGCUUCCCCAGGGAAAAUGAAACACUCCCAGGCUCUCCGGGGGUCGCGACAUGCUGGCUCAGCGGUUGUGAGGGGCUGAGCUCUCAGCGAGGGGCGCGGCUCGGCGGAGCCGCAGACAUAGGUGGGAUGCUCAGCUAGCGGAAGGUCUGACCCACGUUACCUCGAUUUUGUGACGCAAAUUCAUGCAGGACAGCUGUGUUUUAAACCUCAGACUGAUUUUGUACCUUAAGUAGUUUGGCCUCUUGUCUUCUUUUUCUUCAGUUGUUUCUUAUUUUGGUCAGACUUUCUACAUUUCUAAGUUGGCACUUGCGUCUGUGUCAUACGGAGUGGUCAUUUAACAGACCUUUAAUGCUCUAAAAACCUGCGCCUACCUUAAACAAAAAUUAAGAAAAUCCCAACGCUGCAACGCUGUUGUUAGUAGUACUGUGAAUGUUUGUGCAGCUUCAUGGGAAGCUAGGGGAGGGAGCCAGCCUCGCUGGAAAAGUACUGCUCCCAUCAUAGCUGUGCUAGUAAGAGCAGGGCUGACGGCAAUUAGCAAAAAGAAGGGCUGUGGUGUCAAAGCUGUCAUUCGAUAUGCGAGUGCUCCUGAAGAAGUAACUCAUACUGCAAUUACCCUUUCUUUCUUUUUUAAAUCCAGUCUGCCUUUUACUGGUUGUUCUGACACUGAACUUUUACAUCUAGAGAAUCAGGUCAGUAAUUAGGCCAACAUAUAAGAAUUGUCACUUAUAGGACAGUUCCAAAUAAACUGUGUUUAACCAUGAAAUGUGCAUUUAAAAUAAUAAUUUUGGAAGUGGUGAAAAAAGUAGGAUUAUCACAAAUAUAUAGGGCAGUUUCCAUGAAUCGACUAGCACUCCUUACAUUGAGGUUAUGUAGGCUGAUAAUUUCACAUUUUGAUUUCACAGUAUGAAACCCUUUUAAAAAAAUAAGUGGUGGGACAAGACACAUUGAUUUUAACUUGGACCUAGCAAAAGCUACAGGUUUUCUGCCAUUAUUUGUUUUUGGUUUGGCUUAUUAGUGGAGUUUUGUGGGUUUUUUUCCUUCUACAUAGCUCACACUCCCAUCCUUUAAUUUUAGUCCCAUGAUUUAGAUCACAAAGUAAAAUGUAGCAUUAAAAAAAGCUGGUAAUGAUAAGACUUAAAUGUUCUGCACUGUACCCCACUGCAGGAAGUAAGUUAAUAGUUAAACUGACAUCUUCACCAUUAUUAAAGUCUUCCAGCCUUUCUCAACUUUUUUUUUUCCAACUAUCUUUUUUUCUGACAGGUUUUUUCAGCUGUGAAUGAUGUGUCUCAUCAGGGAGACUACAUUUAGAUUCUAUCCCUCUGGGCUAGUACCAAACUUUGUGUGAUCUUAAUUUAUUCUGUGUCCUCUCAUCUCCUGAAUGAGAGAAAGUACCAUCUCUGCUGCUUUAAUUGUGUGCUGCUCAUUUUCAGUAUUUCUUGUACCUUAUGUUUUUGGGUUUGGAUCUGUUCUGGAAGCCCCUUAAAACCCAGUGGUCAGAAACAUGUUACUACUUUAGAAACUGAGCUGAAUCACAAUUCCCAGUCCUACUGAAUCCUUUUCUUUUGCUUUCUUUAGAGCUGCUAUUCUUCCAGCAGCUCAGUAUAUUUUACUAAUUUUGGCAUGCUAGCAAUAGACUGGAAUCUCUACCUGCCCACAAAAUUCCUGGACUAUAAAUUGCCAGGUGAUAGGCAUAAAGCAAAGGAAGGACUGUGAUUUUGGAGAGAGGGAGGUUGGCGUCCCUCUUUCUAUGAAUUGAUAGAUGAGUGUUUCUCAAAUUGUGGGGCUUACAAUGUUAGUCUGUUCCUGGCUCUUCUCAGCUGAGAGUGCUUUGAGGACUCCCAAAUGCUCAUAGGAAGCAAAGUAUUCCUUUACUGCAGACGUGUAAUUAGCUAUAGUAACUGUAGUUAUAGAGCUGGCAGGUAACAGUUUUUAUGAUGAUUAUGUUCCCUCAUUAGUAUGUAUAGAUUUUAUUUUUAGAAUUGUUUUAAGAUUAUUGUAACUCCUAAUAAUGCAACUAUGAGCUGGCAUUGUCUUUUUAAGGUUAUGAUAUGCAAGAGCAAUUUACUGUAAUAAGUUGUUGUGCACUGUGAUGACAAUGAUAAAUGGUGCCUCAGAAAAUAUGUUCCAAGCAUCAUGUGUCAGCAGGCUGCUGUUUCAGCAGCUAUGGAGAUUUAUUUUUUUUUUUUCUGAGCACUGUGUUAAGGUAGUAUAUGUCUGAACAAAAAUUGUAUCUAGAGAAGAGCACUUUAAAGAUGGUAAUUCCAGGCUUGUGCUGACUGCAUGUUCACUGCAGGAAAAGAAUUAGUAAAAUGAUGUCUAGAAUUCAAGGAUACAUGGACAAACGUGAUAACCUUGGUGCAUGUAUGCUGCAAUGCACACAUAAAUCAUUAUUAUUAUUAUGAAAUCCUAAUUAGUGUAAUUAAUAUAAAACAAUACAUGAGCAUAAGGGGCAAAUAUACUAGGAAUAUAGUAGCCCACAAAAAAUUCUUUCAUGUCUGAAAUGAGGUAUUUUAACUUAGUGUUAAUCCUACUUUAAAAUAAAACUAAAAGCCCCAGCUGUAAUUAUGUGGCAUCCUAUUGGGAGCAGCAGAGCUGUCCAGGCUGCUGAGAGGCCUCAGGAGGUCGUACUCUGUCACUAGAGGGGAGUGUGAGAUCUGCUUUGCCAGGGUGGUGUUGGGUAUUCACCCACCGACAUGUAGGAGGAGAAUGUAGUCCAAGGGCACAAAGAUUUAAUUGCAGUCUGUUUGGCUGUUGUAGAAUUGUUAUACCGUAUGAUCUUUUCUGCUACAUCAACAUGGCUAUGAAAAUAAAAUAAAUAUUAAACCUAUAAAAUAACUUGUGGAGUAGUGUUGGGUUUUUUGCUUCUGUUGAAAUUUUCUUAUCAAAAUCCCAUUAAAAUCUGUUUGUCAACAGCAGCAAGAGAAUGGAAAAGAGUAUCAAGUAGGUACAUAACAAUUUGGAAUACAAAGAUGAUUUGGAAUACAUAUGAUGUUACUUUUAGUCUAAGAAGCAUCCUGGGGUUCUGAGGGAACUGGUAGAUGUGAUGGCUGAGCCAUGUCUCAAUCAUAUUUGAAAAGUCAUGAUAAUCAGGCUUUGACUAUCAUUCAGUGACUGGAGUGACACUGACUACUGUUCUGUAACAGUAUCUCAGGCACUGGAGGGAAGGAAUUGUCACACCCAGACCCUGGGAACUGCUGACCAGCCUCACCUUUGUGCCCAAACAAGAUCAUGGAGCAGGUCCUGCUGGCAGUUACUUCAAAGCAUAUGAGAGGUGAUUGUAUGAAGGUGACUAGAGACAGCCAACACAGCUUUGUCAAGAGCAAAUCAUGUGGCUGCCUCUGAUGGAGUGACUGUAUCAGGAGACAAAGGAAAGGUAAGAGAUGUCACUUGACUUCUGUAAAGCCUUUAAUACUGUCCCUUCCAGUGCUUUUGCCUCUAAAUUGAUGUGGGUUUGAUGGAUGGACUAUUAAAUGGCAAGGAAUUGUAUGACUGCAACCAAAGAGCUACCAGUGCUGAGUGGUAUCCUCCCACAGGUGUGUUUUGGGGCUUAUAGUUUAAUCUUAGUGACACAGAGUGCACCUUCAGGAAAUUUGUGUGUGACACCAAGCUGAGUGGUUCAAUUGAUAAAGGGGAUGUAUGCCAUCCAGAGGAUCUUGACAGGCUUGAGGAGUUGGCAUGUACAUACAUCAUGAAACUUAAAAUUGUCCUGGCUUGAGGUAAUGCCCAGUAUCAAUAUAGACUGAGGGAUGAAUGGAUUGAAAGCAGUGGAGAAGAUACUGGGAAUACCCAUGGGUGAGAAGCUGGACAUAACCCAGCAAUGUGCACUCCCAGCCCAGAAAGUCAAAUGUGUCCUGUGCUGCAUCAAAAGUAACAUGACCACUGGAUGGAGCAGAGUGACUCUCCCCCUCUGCUCUGCUCUCAAGAGACCCCUCCUGGAGUGCUGAGUGCAGCUCUAGGACACCCAGCACAAGGUGGACGUGAACCUGUUGGAGCAGGUCCAGAGGAGGGCCACAAAAAUGAUGAGUGGUCUAUUGACACUGAUAAAUGUUUGAGAUUUUUCCUUUUUCAAUGUAGGGAUUGUAUUUGUACAGAAGCAUAAAUAAGAGAAUUUAUCUCUUAUUACUGAUGCCUGAAGGGAAACGUGUGGAAGAAAACUGCAUCAUUCAAGACCAUCUGGAUUAGAAGCUGAGGGUGACAAUUACUCUGCCAAAGAACCUAAAGUCAUUAGAAUUUGUAUAAAAGUGUGUGUGUUAUCCAAAGGUCUUUUGUUUGUUUGUUCCUUUUAAUUAGAUGCUUUUGUGUAAAAGAUACAUAUCUUUAUAAUGACUCAAGGGAUUAAAUCCCUUAAUGUUCCUCCCUUAGUACCCAAACAUCACUAUAAAAACACCGAGUAAUAGGCAGCAGCUGCAUGUAAGUCUCUUAGUGUUACCUGAAAUGUCAAUAACUCUUGCCCUCUAUAAUGUAUGUGCAUUAUUUGAAGCUCAGAAAGUUUGCAGUCCCUGAUUGUUUUUAGAUAAUUGAACAGGUUUUACUAUGAAAUUUUCUGUGAUAAUCCUAUCAUGGUGUUUUAUAUCAGUAGCAUCACUAUAUGGAUGAAUACCCAAAUUUAAAGAACAUCUUUCUUUCUUUUCUGUAAGGUUUUAAUGGAUGAUCAAAAUCAAUAAGGUUUCCUGUGUUGCCAGUAACAUGGGAUCAUUCAUCUGCUACAAUGUGGACGUUAACUGCAAAGGUGGAUGGAUGAAAACUGGUGAAUUGUAUGGAGAUGCCUAGUUUGGUAAAGUAUCUCUUCAGUGCCUUGGUUGUUAGUUCCUCGAGCUCUAGACUGGGCAGCAGGAGUCACAGGAGGAGCUCUGUGCUAGAGUUUUUGCUGUGCAGAGAACACCCCACACCACUUGCCUGCAGCAGCAGUUUACCCGAAAUGGUUCCGUUGUGGUUGACCAAGCUGUCACAGAAGCUGUUGAAAUUGCACAACGGAGAGAACACCGCAAGAAGAGAGGAAUGGCAACCUGGGCCAGCAGCACAUGAUACAACCUCAUUCUGUGAAAAACUCAGUUGCAACCCAAUCACAUCCCUGCAAUGAGUCAGAGCAGUUUGCUUAUACAAGGUACUGUUUUGCUGGAACGCCAACAAGGCUGACUGUAGAGGUACUUAUAAGUUGAACUUGACUACGGUCCCUGCUGUUAUAGCAAAAGAAAUCCCCAAAACGAGGAGAUCCUCCUUGACAGAUGUCAAAGCUUGCUUAAAAGCUUGGAGAUAGUAGACCAACUGGCAUGAACAGAAAAAUAAUAAAUUUCUUUCUUGAAAUGGCUAAGCCCUUUUAUUUCAUAACACAAAAGCAAAGUAUUGAACUGUAUAAUUUUAUUAGGGUGCUUAGUACCUAAAUACAUUUUUCCAUUAAAUUUACGCCAAGGCCUGAUUUCUGAGUUACAGCACAAUCAAGACUUACAAGACUAAGACAAGGCAAGAAAGCCACAGAAACACUUCUGUUUUAUUUGGCAAUAUCCCAAAUGUAGUCAGUUUGGAAAUAGCUAUCUUUGGCUUAACUGUUGGACUUGGAUUGAUUCCAAGUGGAAUGUUCCAAAUUGUGUCCAUGAUAGUAUGUAUGAGUGUGUCCCAGAAUUUCAGUGUUUUUGACAAUGAUUGUCAAGAGAUGAACCAUGACUUUGGAAAAUAAACGCUGAGGGGUCUAUUGGUUGUGCUGAUUGCCUUUGGGGACAAGAAGAAAACCAAUGGAAAAUUGUUUUCUCAAGUGGAAUUUUAUCAGCUCAUACUCCUCAUCCAGUGAUCAGAAGCCCUGUAGCACUUCAUCAUUCAAAUAUAUAAAAUGCUGAUUGUGUUGAUUGGUAUCAAGCUGACACUUGAUCAUUUAUUGACAUUCAGAAUUGGGUCAUGGGUUUAUGGCUCUUUUGAAAAAGGCUGAAGUCAGUGAGAUUUAAAGCUGUAAUAACUGUAUUCAGGUACUGACUUGCCUACAGGAUUGGCUGGGCGUCCCAAGCUCUUUAAAAGUGGCAGUUCAGAAUACUUUUAACCAUAUUCUGUAGAGUUAUCUUUUACUGAAUCAUUAAGACUUUUGAAAUGAGACAUGCUUCAAUAUAUUGACUCUACAGAUGAAAAUACUAAAGAUUUCUGCACCUUUAAGGUAGAGAGCCAUUACACAGCAUAUUGGAAAUCAGUGUUGUAGGUGCUCCCCCACAUCCUCUAAACAUGCUUGUGUUAAAUGUGUUUUAAUUUCAAAAGGAAUAUGGUAUUUCUAAGAAAAAAGAUUAUCUUUCUGUUUUGUAGAAACUCAGCUAUUUUUUCAACAGUUAGAAUGUCAACUUUUGGGUUGAAUCAUCUCACUACUAUAACAUUUGAUCAGCCAGGAAGCUAGUUUUACUAUGCAGGUUAUGCUUGGACUCUGAAACUUUUUCCCAUUACAACAUUUUUGAGAUCAUAAUGGCAGUUUCGUAAUGUUUUUCUACAUUAGCAUUAAAGUUUUAUAGGCAAUUAUGUGAGAACCGAUAAAAAGAGACUCCAACUCUGAUAUAAUACUAAGUUCUUUAAGUGUAGCAAAAUAUUUCUGCAACUCAAGGCAGAAGAAGGGAGCAUUUGUAUGCAAUAUCAGAACUGAUAUUUCAUUUCAUUUCACCAAUCCUUUGCUCAAUUAGAUAAAAGCCUGUAGCACCACCACUCCAUGAAGUAAGGUAAGGAGAAAAAGUCAGGGUCUCAAUUCCAUGUAAACUAUAGUCUUCUAUGACUAAAAACAUACUUUUCAGUACUCUUUGUCUUGAUCCAUUAGAAUAAUAUAAAUUCCAUUAGCUUUAUAGGCCUGCAAGAGAACCUCCUUUUUUUAGAAACUGAUCUUAAACACUUGAAACCAGAAAAAAAAAAAAAUACUAACUUUUAGAUAAAGGACUAGGUUCUUUCAAGAGUCCUAAGUAGAGAGCACAGCAAUGAAACCACAAAAAUCUUCAAAUAAACUAGAGUUUAAUUUUUCUUAGAAUCAGUUACAAUUUUUUUUUCUUUCUACACCUAAAAGAGGCAAAUAACAGAAUGAGAAAUCCUCUCCUUGAAAAGAAGCUGAUUUCCAUGGGUCUGUGGCUUUCUAGAGAUCAUGUUAAAUAAAAUCUGUGGGCUUUCCUAUGAACUACAGCCAUUCAAAAAGGUUUACUAGAGCAGAAUUGAUACAAGCUCUGUUGUCACAGUAAACAUUACAGCAGGCAAAUAUCAGCAAGCCUUUUGGUCAGGUCAGUUUAAGAUAAGAGAAAGAAAAUAGUCAGCUGCUUUCUUGCUUGGCCUCAGGUUUGAUCAUUCCAGCGGCUGAUGUCUGUUGAAUUCUGUCUAUGUAUAGAAAGAAUACCCAUGAGGAUUAUGAAUAAACCAAAUAGAAUUACACCUCCUGCUCAAGAAUUUCAGGAUCAGAGAAUUACUGAGGUUGGCAAGGGCCUCUGCAGGUUAUCUAAUCCAAAGCCCUGCUAAAAGCAGCAUCAGGUACAGUAGUUUGCUCAGGGCUGUGUCUAGCUGAGUUCUGAGGAUCUCAAAGGAUGAAGACUCCCUAACCUCUCUGUGUGUUUUCUUGUGUUCAGGCAGUUUCACGUGCUGCCACUUUUGACUGGCUGGGAAAAUCAGAAACUAAUUUCUUAAUAUGGCAUCAAUUUAGCUAUG